GACGAACGCUGGCGGCGUGCUUAACACAUGCAAGUCGAACGGAAAGGCCCUUCUUUUUUGGGGUGCUCUAGUUGCGAACGGGUGAGUAACACGUCAGUUACCUGCCCUUCACUUUGCUAUAACUUCAUGAAACUGAAGCUAAUACCGGAUAGGAGCUCCUGCUUCUUGGUGGGGGUUGGAAUGUUUCGGCGGUUGGUGAUGUACUCGCGGCUUAUCAGCUCGUUGGUUGGGUAGUGGCUUACCAUGGCAUUGACGGGUAGCCGGCCUGAGAGGGGGACCGGCCAAAUUAGGACUGAGAUGAGACCCAGACUACGAAGGGAGGGAGCGAUGGGGGAUAUUGCAAAAGAGGAGGAAGGCUGAUGCGACAAAGCCGCGCGGGGGAUGACGGGCAUCGGGUAGUAAAGCGAUUCCGCCUGUGACGAAGCGUGAGUGACGGUAAUGGGUAAAGAAGCACCGGCUAACUACGCG
Molecule: ribosomal RNA, 468 nt
Filed under: uncultured bacterium
Lineage: Bacteria
Description: partial 16S ribosomal RNA
Rfam family: Bacterial small subunit ribosomal RNA
Source: RNAcentral